AAUUCCAGCUCCAAUAGCGUAUAUUAAAGUUGUUGUGGUUAAAAAGCUCGUAGUUGAACCUUGGGCCUGGCCGUCCGGUCCGCCUCACCGCGUGUACUGGCUCGGCCGGCCUUUCCCUCUGUGGAACCCCAUGCCCUUCACUGGGCGUGGCGGGGAAACAGGACUUUUACUGUGAAAAAAUUAGAGUGCUCCAGGCAGGCCUAUGCUCGAAUACAUUAGCAUGGAAUAAUAGAAUAGGACGUGUGGUUCUAUUUUGUUGGUUUCUAGGACCGCCGUAAUGAUUAAUAGGGACAGUCGGGGGCAUCAGUAUUCAAUUGUCAGAGGUGAAAUUCUUGGAUUUAUUGAAGACUAACUACUGCGAAAGCAUUUGCCAAGGAUGUUUUCAUUAAUCAGGAACGAAAGUUAGGGGAUCGAAGACGAUCAGAUACCGUCGUAGUCUUAACCAUAAACUAUGCCGACUAGGGAUCGGACGGUGUUAUUUUUUGACCCGUUCGGCACCUUACGAGAAAUCAAAGUGCUUGGGCUCCAGGGGGAGUAUGGUCGCAAGGCUGAAACUUAAAGAAAUUGACGGAAGGGCACCACCAGGGGUGGAGCCUGCGGCUUAAUUUGACUCAACACGGGGAAACUCACCAGGUCCAGACACAAUGAGGAUUGACAGAUUGAGAGCUCUUUCUUGAUUUUGUGGGUGGUGGUGCAUGGCCGUUCUUAGUUGGUGGAGUGAUUUGUCUGCUUAAUUGCGAUAACGAACGAGACCUUAACCUGCUAAAUAGCCCGUAUUGCUUUGGCAGUACGCUGGCUUCUUAGAGGGACUAUCGGCUCAAGCCGAUGGAAGUUUGAGGCAAUAACAGGUCA
This 852-nucleotide ribosomal RNA is filed under the name Fusarium oxysporum f. sp. cubense. RNAcentral's name for it is "partial 28S ribosomal RNA". It matches the Rfam family "Eukaryotic small subunit ribosomal RNA", at positions 581 to 1463 of the family's 1831-position model. The record is from RNAcentral. Lineage: Eukaryota; Fungi; Ascomycota; Sordariomycetes; Hypocreales; Nectriaceae.